This 503-nucleotide ribosomal RNA is filed under the name Burkholderia cenocepacia. Its description in RNAcentral is "bacterial SSU rRNA". It matches the Rfam family "Bacterial small subunit ribosomal RNA", at positions 484 to 987 of the family's 1533-position model. Lineage: Bacteria; Pseudomonadati; Pseudomonadota; Betaproteobacteria; Burkholderiales; Burkholderiaceae. RNAcentral also lists the same sequence under 1 other name. The record is from RNAcentral.
GAAUAAGCACCGGCUAACUACGUGCCAGCAGCCGCGGUAAUACGUAGGGUGCGAGCGUUAAUCGGAAUUACUGGGCGUAAAGCGUGCGCAGGCGGUUUGCUAAGACCGAUGUGAAAUCCCCGGGCUCAACCUGGGAACUGCAUUGGUGACUGGCAGGCUAGAGUAUGGCAGAGGGGGGUAGAAUUCCACGUGUAGCAGUGAAAUGCGUAGAGAUGUGGAGGAAUACCGAUGGCGAAGGCAGCCCCCUGGGCCAAUACUGACGCUCAUGCACGAAAGCGUGGGGAGCAAACAGGAUUAGAUACCCUGGUAGUCCACGCCCUAAACGAUGUCAACUAGUUGUUGGGGAUUCAUUUCCUUAGUAACGUAGCUAACGCGUGAAGUUGACCGCCUGGGGAGUACGGUCGCAAGAUUAAAACUCAAAGGAAUUGACGGGGACCCGCACAAGCGGUGGAUGAUGUGGAUUAAUUCGAUGCAACGCGAAAAACCUUACCUACCCUUGACAU